This is a long non-coding RNA of Macadamia integrifolia, 1090 nucleotides long. RefSeq lists it as uncharacterized. The transcript has 6 exons. The record is from RefSeq and is a predicted model, not a curated record. NCBI's taxonomy places the organism in Eukaryota, Viridiplantae, Streptophyta, Magnoliopsida, Proteales, Proteaceae.
CGGCAAAAUUACGAAUGAGUAAUGGACCAACCGUUCAGAACUAAAGGGUUUUGUUUUUAAAGACGAAAAUGCCCCUACUUAUGCAGAAUCUUGUAUUCUCCAACAGUUGAGCUUUUCCAUUUCAGUUUCUAGCUACUUGAUGCCCAUUUCUUCUGGUGCAUAACAGUUGCUGGUGGAGAUGGUUGGAGUCCACAGGGAUUAGAAGCCUCAGAAAUUGCCUUCCCAUUUCCAAAGUCAGAGGUCUGGAUUUAAUACUUCAUAAGUCUUAGCUUUAAUUCCAUUUUGAAUCUAAUCAUAAUUAGAGUGAUGCGUUUCUAACCUUCUAUUCUAAUUUUAUACACAAAUUUUCAUUUUUCUUCUCUGAGCAUAAGCGAAGGUUGAGGUUGAGUCAGUCAAGACUCAAGAUAGAGACGGUUUGAGUCCAAGCUCUGUUGCCUUGAUGCGCAAAGAAUGAGAAUUUGCUUGAUGCUUGUGUUACCUUGAGUUACAAAUGCUUAUGCUUGUUGAAGAGACUCAAUUCUUCCGUUGCAAACAAUUGACCUAAAGAUGGAGAUUGGUUCAAUACCAUAGCUGAAGAAGCUAAGAGGGCGCAGGUUGAGUUAAUCAAGAAGGGAGUGUUCAGGAGGUGUAGUAGGAGAGAGAUGGUGAUUAGGAGACUUGGUAGAAAUUGAUUCAAAUCCAUCACUGGGUGCCUAUGACUGGGUCCAUGCUUAAUGUUUGUGCUAGUCCAAAUUACAAGUGAUACCGAGUCUGAAGAUACUAAUUUCUUCCAUUGUAAACAAUUGAGCUUAAAGUGGAGAUGGUUCAACAUCAUAUCUAAAGAAGCUAAGAGGUUAAUCAAGAAGGGAGUGUUCAGGAGGUGAAGUAGGGCAGGGAUGGUGGUUAGAGACUUGGUGGAAGUCGAUUCAAGUCCAGGCCCUGACUGAGUCCAUCCACAAUGUUUAUGGUAGUCCAAAUUACAAGUGUUACGGAGUCGUUGAAGGUUGUCCUUUCUUAGUUCUGUAACCUCAAUCUUGAACUAUGAACCAGGAGUAAUUUUCACUAUGUAUAACAUGCAAAUCUCAAAUGAAAAGCUUAGCAGGUUUGAGCA